UUCCUUUUUUUUUUUUUUUUUUUUUAAAUAAUUAUUCUUUAUUUUAUGCUUUGGGCUCAUUUUCCACAUUCCUGAGCUCAGUCUGGCUAACAGAAAUCUCUUAUCCACCUGCUGCUGCUGUGCAGCCAGAAUUUUGGGGCAGUGAACGGAAUACAAUUUUAAGGGAAAAAAUAAUAAUCAGUGAUUCUUUUGCCCCAGUAAGUUCCAGGCAUUUUUCAGCUCAGACUUUUCAGUUUACCUAGAAAGAUGACUUGGAAUUUUAUUAAAUUUGCCUCACAGAUUAAUCCAGACAUUGCAAUGGUUCUUGAAUAUAUUAUUGUAAAAAUGGUCAGCUAAUGAGAGUAAAGCAACUUAGAUGAGUAAUUUAUGAUCUUCAUAAAGCUUCUGAAACUCUGUUUAACUGUACUUCCCAGGAGCUUGUUCAGCAAUGUCAAUACAUUAUGGAAUCAAUGGGGAACAGGAAGAAGACAAGCAGGAAACUGUGCAUAUUGUAGGAAAAUAAUACAGAACAUAUGUGCAAGGAUUCCUUCAGGUAACUUUACGCUUAUAGCCAAAAUAAAUUGCAAGAUAGUUUUCAUUUCCAUUACUUCUCUUGGUCUUUUUUUUUUUUUUUUUUUUUUAAAAGGUACACUUCCACUAAUUAAAGGUAACUCUUGCUAAUAGAAGCUAAUAGAAGAUAAAUUUUCUGCAGUGUUGCCAGUCCUGAAUAGUUGCGGAGAAAGAUUCAAAAUCUUGAAUCAAAAGUAUUUAUUGUAUCCUGUAGUGCUACAGCUAGUUUUGUAUCUAUAAGAUAUGUGAAGAUGCAUUGUACCUUGUCAUCUGCAUUUCCAACAAGCAAGUAAGAGGUCAGGUGAGCAACAUAUAUCCCCUUUUGUGCAUAACUGCAAGAUUCAAGGGAGUGGUAUAGCUCCAGAGCCUCUGCCAGCAGGUGUGAUAAGCUGUGAGGUGAUGUAUACGUAGUGCUCUGUGCCAGACUGACAAACUCAUGCGCUGAGGGAUAGUGCAAAGGUUGUGUAACAUGGGGGCAGCAUGUAGCUGCUCCGCCAAGAAAAUUCCCAGGGAAGGGUUGUGGCCUAUCCUGCUUGUAUGCUUCACAGGGCAACAUCGUGCUGUGUGAGCAAUUCAUCAUCACAUCCUGGGGCCAUCUCCUCAGUGCCAGUUACAGCCCUGGGACUGGAAGGGUUAUUGCCUGAUUGGGUAGAGGUUGUCCGUUGUACAGGAGCCCUUUUCUACCUGCUUCCUUGAGUCCUGCUGUUUAUGGCUGGCCUUGGGGCUCAUACUUUUGUUUCUGUGGACAAAUUACAAAUGCAGCUACGACAAUUGGGAUUUGAAUUACUGCCAAUAUGGUGUGUGUGUGACAACAGCAUGGUGCAAACCAGAUUCUUGUCCAUCUCAGAUAGUAUUGUAUAAUAAGCCAGAAUUGUAGUCUACAGUGGCCUUACAACAGAGCUGGAGAAAGGCAUUAAAUUGACUUCCAGCUUAGUAUGGUUGUUCAGUGUUUUUUAUUUUUUUUAUUUUUUAGGCCACCAUGAGUGAUAUAACAAAUAACAUUGCACACCGAAGUUGCUGAGUUUUAAACGUAUGUUAAAUUCUCCACUCUAUACAAGCUGUACCAUCCAGCAGGUAUGUUUCCUCUUUUGGAGAGUUAAUCUCACAAAUUAGCAUUACAACAAAGCCUGAAGAAAUUACCUCUCCUUCCAUUUCCUUUUCUUUUGUGGUAGAUCAGUUAUUCACAGCACAUUCUUCCUUUCUGGAACCAACUCUUUGUUUUGCAAAACCUCGUUCCACCCUUGCUGUCUAGUAGAGACCUGUUCCAAGCUGUGUUCCACUGGCUGGGAACAGGUACAGGCAACAGAAAUGCUUUUCUUACAAAACUGUCUUUGCAAGUAUUGUAUCUGCUCCCCGCCCUACAGAAGAAAGAUUUUGUUGAGAAUGAGUAUAGUUAUAUGCACUUCCCUUGGGAAAUUCUCCUUAGCAGCUUCAAAAGCUAUUACUGAAAAUCCGCGUUUGAUGAAAUAACCCAUAUAUCAAAAUGAGUGAACAUCUUUCUCAGAUAUCUUCUACAUGAUCUGUGACACUUCAGUGCUUAUCGUUUGUGCUACUAUGGGAAUGCAUUUCUAAAGUAGCAUACAUUGUUCUGAUUUUAAUGAUUCCAAAGUCUUGAGUCAAGUCUGUGAAGUACGUUUUGCUUAACUGUAGCUAGUAUUAAAGAGUUUCCAUUCUUUCAGAAACUGAAUUCCCUGCUAGUGAUGGAAAUUACAGCUUUCAUCUCAUAACCAAUAAUCAUAGUAACUAUUAUCUGUGUUCUGUACAUUUAUUUUGUGUGGUAUCAUUCACUAUUGAAGUGUGCAUCAACUACAGGUGACUGUCCCAAUGCAAAUGCAUGGAUGUUCCCAGGAUCUGCAUUGCCUUGUGUAAGUUUCAAGAAGAAAAUUUUGGUAAUGUAGAAGACAAGGAAUAUUAGAAAUGCUUGAUAGGAAGUUGUAUAAAAGUCUCACCAACCACUAGAUUUUUUUUUUUUUUGAAUGGAAAUAGAAAAUAUGUUUCAAAGGAAAUGACUAUGCAUGUGAUUCAGGCUCAUUGAAAAAUUUGUUUAGUAUAAAGUAUUACAUUUUACUACAAAAAUAGUAUGAAACAGAAGACACGGUUUUGUUGAAGGCAGUGAAAUAAAUGGGAUUAAGAUAAAAAUAAUGAUUAUAUAUUAAAGCCAGUAACCUCUGUGUUUUAUCCUUAUGCACCUGUCCUGGUGACGUAGGACGUAGGUGUAGAUAGUUUCUACAUCACAUUCCUGUUAUAUAUAAACUGAACAUGCUUUUUAAUGGUCUGAGGGCUUGCUGAGAAAUUGGUUUGUUAAGGCAAAUAAAAGAAGAUCUCAUUAGUCAAUUGUUUCUUUGUCUAAAAGAGGUCAUUAAAUUUGAUGAUAGAAGCUGUCAAUAUAUAAAAAUAUACAACUGAAUGGAAGGUGAGAACAAAUGCUGACAAGUGUCGUAUACAGCCAGUGCUCUUGACAAGACACAGGACUGAGCUUAGCAAAUGGCUUAUAAAGCCCAUUUAGCAGGAGGACAGUAAAAUCCUUCCUUUAAGGUGGCUUAGUUUUUUUUAGUAAGCAUUUAUGUGGAGACAGGGAUCUACCCAAAUAGGUGGGGGUGCUUGCUUUUACUAGGCACUGCAGACACCACUGCAAUAUAACUUUAGUUUAUUAUGGCACUAAAAUGAAACUGCUUUUUUUUUUUUUUUUUUUUUCUUGAAAUGAGGUUUGUAUCUACCAAAAGGGGGUAGCCAUUCAUUUCCUAUACUGGCUAUUGUUUUUGAAAGACAGUCAUCUCUGUGUCUUUUUUAAAAGCAUGAGUUCACUAUGUGCUAAAUGGCUGCAAGGGAAAAUAUGUUAUUGGUUAAGAGAGGAAAUUAUAUGUUUUUAUAUAUAUAAUUACAGGGGUUGAUCGGUAACUCACAACUACAGUAGUCCCACUUAAAAAAAUGUUAAAACAGCUACUCCAUUCUUUGUCUUCAUUGAUUAGCUUCAUCCAGAUGAUAAAAAUUAGUGAUGGACAGCCACAGAGCUGUCCAGCUCCCUGAGGCAAACAACACAAGAGCUGUCAUAGGUACAGAGAAAGCCUGGGUUAGGAGCCGUCCUGCCAGGUUGGGGCUCUGAUGCCCUAAGCAGCAGAUAACUUUGGUGGCCACAGGGCAGGAUGGCUGAGGCAGGGUAUGCCCCCAAGAAACCAUUCACUCUGUGGCUGGUUGUGGGUGUUGGUUAAGUGGCAUCCCCAGAUCCAUUAGUAUCAAUUCUCCAACAAGGCAGCUGAUGAUGUUGGACUAAGAUGGGGGGUUGUCUCGGAGGAAGCAGGUCCUCUGAUGUCCUGGCCUCAUUGUGUUCACCAGCAGUGUAUCACCAUUACUUGUGGAAACAGUCUGUUGAAAAUUACUACCAGAAUUUUCUCUGACCAGAUCAUUAUUUGUUUACAGAAAAGGAGGAUGUUUUGUAAUAUUUAUACAUUUUAUAUCAAACUGAAUGGGGGUAAAGGUUUUGCUGCAUGCAGACUCUCAUUUGGACUCAUUUAAAGCUCAACUUUAAAUUCAUGAGUUUUAUUGGAAAAAUUAAUAAUCUGAGAACACUUACAAAUCAGUGCUUUUAAAAACAGUUUUACAACAGUGUUUGAAUCUCAUGUAAGCUUUAGAUCAAUUCUUUAUUGAUUUUAUUCAGCUGGGUCUUUGGAUAGAGUUUGUAGAUGAAAUGAUAUUGUGAGGAGUUGAAUUUGUCUUUGCCUUCCUAUAACAACUCUUGUUCUGAGAAAAAAGAUACAUACACAUUCUGUUGUCAGGAGCCUCUGUUAACAGAAGUCCUCUCAUAUCUACUUUAGAAAAAAAAAAAAGGAAAACGAACAAAGAACAUAGGUUACCAUUACAACUCCUGAAACAUAGGCUGACUGGUCCUAAAUCAUGGUCAGGUGUUGUGGAUCUGGCUGAAUGUUUUUCACUAUAUUUAUCUCAUUCCAAAACAGAACAACAACAACACAAUCAUAAAUGGUCUCAUCUAUCCCAUGUUAGCUAGGCCAGAAACCACUGGUCAUAUCAGUUAUAACAUUCGUCUGGUAGAUCAGUCUACCAUAACAUGCUUAACUUUAAACCCAUAACUUUAAACUCCAGCAUGGCAGUUCUGUUCAGAACAGACCUUUAUGACUUCAAGCCAUCCUAAUCCUUCUGAAGACAAUUACUAAUCUAGAACUUUCAGAUGUUUCAUGUCUUUUGUAGCUGCACAAUUAAGCAUUAUACAAAGUGCUUAAAAAUGUAUGGAACAACUAUCUGUGGUUAAUAGCUAACAACUGAACAAAAUGAGAGCAGCAAAACAGGAGGUAAGUUAGGAAGACGUGGCAGACUUGCACAGAGAGUGAGGUCUGCUUCUUAGUGGAUGAGACAGACAACUAUUUACUAUAUUUUGAGAGCACCUGGCAAUAAGUCUAUUGGCUAUCAGGACAACUUAAGUGAAAGCGGUGUUUAUUACUGUGCCAUGUUAAGUGGAUUUGAGUGCAACAGAAAUAAACAGAACAGCCUCUGGAAAAGUUUCAAACUGGUGAGUGCUCUAGUGUUGCAGACAGCUCAGGUCAUUUAUUAGAAGCCAACUAAUCAGCACAAAUGACAAUAUGAGCUUUUAUGUUUGUUGGUUUCCUUGUAAAGAAGGUGGCUUUCAUACAGAUGUAUUAGCACGAAGUUAUGUCCUGUUUCACUUGAAAGCCAGCUCUAGCUUGCCCAUCUGACAGAUCCUAUAUCUUCUUUCAAAUGCACUCAUUUGCUUUUCCUCCUCACAAGGAAAACUCUUCUUUGCUUCUCUAAUUUUUAUUUUUUUUUCCCCUUGAUAUUAGCUAGACAGUUCUGAUUCCCUAUGAGUGUGGUAAACCAUUCUUAUUUUUUUACUUAGCAUUGUGAUACAUGCUCAGAAAUUUCAGAAG
Molecule: long non-coding RNA, 5447 nt
Filed under: Anas zonorhyncha (Eastern spot-billed duck)
Lineage: Eukaryota; Metazoa; Chordata; Aves; Anseriformes; Anatidae
Description: lncRNA (ENSAZOG00000000597.1)
Source: RNAcentral